This 424-nucleotide ribosomal RNA is filed under the name uncultured bacterium. RNAcentral's name for it is "bacterial SSU rRNA". It matches the Rfam family "Bacterial small subunit ribosomal RNA", at positions 355 to 776 of the family's 1533-position model. The record is from RNAcentral.
UGAGGAAUAUUGGACAAUGGGCGCAAGCCUGAUCCAGCCAUGCCGCGUGCAGGAAGAAGCAUCUAUGGUGUGUAAACUGCUUUUGUACAGGAAGAAACAUCCCGACGUGUCGGGACUUGACGGUACUGUAAGAAUAAGGAUCGGCUAACUCCGUGCCAGCAGCCGCGGUAAUACGGAGGAUCCAAGCGUUAUCCGGAAUCAUUGGGUUUAAAGGGUCCGUAGGCGGUUUGAUAAGUCAGUGGUGAAAGCCCAUCGCUCAACGAUGGAACGGCCAUUGAUACUGUCAGACUUGAAUUACUGGGAAGUAACUAGAAUAUGUAGUGUAGCGGUGAAAUGCUUAGAUAUUACAUGGAAUACCAAUUGCGAAGGCAGGUUACUACCAGUGGAUUGACGCUGAUGGACGAAAGCGUGGGGAGCGAACAGG